GACGAACGCUGGCGGCGCGCCUAACACAUGCAAGUCGAACGGUGAAGAGGAGCUUGCUCCUCGGAACAGUGGCGGACGGGUGAGUAACACGUGAGCAACCUGGCUCUAGGAGGGGGACAACAGUUGGAAACGACUGCUAAUACCGCAUGACGUAUCGGGAUGGCAUCUUCCUGAUACCAAAGAUUUUAUCGCUUAGAGAUGGGCUCGCGUCUGAUUAGAUAGUUGGCGGGGUAACGGCCCACCAAGUCGACGAUCAGUAGCCGGACUGAGAGGUUGAACGGCCACAUUGGGACUGAGACACGGCCCAGACUCCUACGGGAGGCAGCAGUGGGGGAUAUUGGACAAUGGGGGCAACCCUGAUCCAGCGACGCCGCGUGAGGGAAGAAGGUUUUCGGAUUGUAAACCUCUGUUGACGGAGAAAAAAAUGAUGGUAUCCGUUUAGAAAGCCACGGCUAACUACGUG
This 463-nucleotide ribosomal RNA is filed under the name uncultured bacterium. RNAcentral's name for it is "partial 16S ribosomal RNA". It matches the Rfam family "Bacterial small subunit ribosomal RNA", at positions 28 to 507 of the family's 1533-position model. The record is from RNAcentral.